Molecule: non-coding RNA, 103 nt
Organism: Plasmodium gallinaceum
Lineage: Eukaryota; Apicomplexa; Aconoidasida; Haemosporida; Plasmodiidae
Source: the annotation of a RefSeq genome assembly
AUACUUUUUGAUCCCAGGCUGGUAAAAAAUGUAAACUUUUAGCCCAAAAGAAUAGAAACAGAUGCCAGGCCAAUAACCCAUUAAAGAGCUAUGACGCUAUCGA